GGUCUUGUAUUCAUUUUGUGAUUAUAGAAUGCAAUUCUGUAGGGGUGAGUUAAAGCUUAUCAAGGCCU
RNAcentral lists this transfer RNA (68 nucleotides) under Astalotermes sp. C JRA-2021a. Its description in RNAcentral is "tRNA-Cys". The record is from RNAcentral. Lineage: Eukaryota; Metazoa; Arthropoda; Insecta; Blattodea; Termitidae.